GACGAACGCUGGCGGCAUGCCUAAUACAUGCAAGUCGAACGAGACCUUCGGGUCUAGUGGCGCACGGGUGCGUAACGCGUGGGAAUCUGCCCUUGGGUUCGGAAUAACAGCGGGAAACUGCUGCUAAUACCGGAUGAUGACGUAAGUACAAAGAUUUAUCGCCCAGGGAUGAGCCCGCGUAGGAUUAGCUAGUUGGUGGGGUAAAGGCCUACCAAGGCGACGAUCCUUAGCUGGUCUGAGAGGAUGAUCAGCCACACUGGGACUGAGACACGGCCCAGACUCCUACGGGAGGCAGCAGUAGGGAAUAUUGGACAAUGGGCGAAAGCCUGAUCCAGCAAUGCCGCGUGAGUGAUGAAGGCCUUAGGGUUGUAAAGCUCUUUUACCCGAGAUGAUAAUGACAGUAUCGGGAGAAUAAGCUCCGGCUAACUCCGUGCCAGCCGCCGCCGUAA
RNAcentral lists this ribosomal RNA (449 nucleotides) under uncultured bacterium. RNAcentral's name for it is "partial 16S ribosomal RNA". It matches the Rfam family "Bacterial small subunit ribosomal RNA", at positions 28 to 523 of the family's 1533-position model. The record is from RNAcentral.